GAUAUCACUGCAGUCUUGAACACUCUAGGGAAGGCAUUGUCAUUAAUCUGACCUAGUUCUGCUGCCAAGAGAGUUUCUCAGAUGUGAGUCUGGAGGGAAGGGGAGGGAAAGGGAGAAAGAAGAGAGGAGAGGAAGGAGUUUGAGGAGCCCAUAACAGAAACAGGGAGGAUCAGCUGCUGGAAUGGUUAACCUGGGGCCAUCUGAGCUUGCAGCCAAUCACAGUGCCUGGCAGGAAAUACCUGCUUGGGAGAUUCCCCAAGAGUCCUCCAGCCCAGCCCUGCCUUGGCCCAGGACUUCUGGUGACCAGCUGCAGUCCAAUUCUCUUCUUUCUCCCUUCCUGAGACCAAGAUCUACACCAGGAGGCCCCCACUGCUCCCUUCAACCAGGCCCCCAGAGAUCCAUAGCCCAGCCCCACAAGUCCCCACCUCCACCUUCACCUCCAGGAA
This 446-nucleotide long non-coding RNA is filed under the name Sarcophilus harrisii (Tasmanian devil). Its description in RNAcentral is "lncRNA (ENSSHAG00000024216.1)". The record is from RNAcentral. Lineage: Eukaryota; Metazoa; Chordata; Mammalia; Dasyuromorphia; Dasyuridae.